This 721-nucleotide ribosomal RNA is filed under the name Polaromonas sp. MJ_9_3. Its description in RNAcentral is "bacterial SSU rRNA". It matches the Rfam family "Bacterial small subunit ribosomal RNA", at positions 76 to 789 of the family's 1533-position model. The record is from RNAcentral. Lineage: Bacteria; Pseudomonadati; Pseudomonadota; Betaproteobacteria; Burkholderiales; Comamonadaceae.
GGAGCAAUCCUGGUGGCGAGUGGCGAACGGGUGAGUAAUAUAUCGGAACGUGCCCAGUCGUGGGGGAUAACGUAGAGAAAUUUACGCUAAUACCGCAUACGAUCUAAGGAUGAAAGCGGGGGACUUCGCAAGAGGCCUCGCGCGAUUGGAGCGGCUGAUAUCAGAUUAGGUUGUUGGUGAGGUAAAAGCUCACCAAGCCGACGAUCUGUAGCUGGUUUGAGAGAACGACCAGCCACACUGGGACUGAGACACGGCCCAGACUCCUACGGGAGGCAGCAGUGGGGAAUUUUGGACAAUGGGCGAAAGCCUGAUCCAGCAAUGCCGCGUGCAGGAAGAAGGCCUUCGGGUUGUAAACUGCUUUUGUACGGAACGAAAAGGUCUGCCCUAAUACGGUGGGCCCAUGACGGUACCGUAAGAAUAAGCACCGGCUAACUACGUGCCAGCAGCCGCGGUAAUACGUAGGGUGCGAGCGUUAAUCGGAAUUACUGGGCGUAAAGCGUGCGCAGGCGGUGAUGUAAGACAGUUGUGAAAUCCCCGGGCUCAACCUGGGAAUUGCAUCUGUGACUGCAUCGCUAGAGUACGGUAGAGGGGGAUGGAAUUCCGCGUGUAGCAGUGAAAUGCGUAGAUAUGCGGAGGAACACCGAUGGCGAAGGCAAUCCCCUGGACCUGUACUGACGCUCAUGCACGAAAGCGUGGGGAGCAAACAGGAUUAGAUACCCUG